AGUGGGGGAUAACAUUCCGAAAGGAGUGCUAAUACCGCAUGACAUCCUGCCUUUGAACAGGCGGUGAUUAAAGCCGGGGAUCGCAAGACCUGGCGCUUGAAGAGGGGCCCGCGUCCGAUUAGCUAGUUGGCGGGGUAAUGGCCCACCAAGGCUGUGAUCAGUAGCCGUCCUGAGAGGGAGCACGGCCACACUGGAACUGAGACACGGUCCAGACUCCUACGGGAGGCAGCAGUGGGGAAUUUUUGGCAAUGGGCGAAAGCCUGACCAAGCAACGCCGCGUGGGUGAUGAAGUAUCUUGGUACGUAAAACCCUUUCGGCAGGAACGAACACAAUGACGGUACCUGCGGAAGAAGCCCCGGCUAACUCCGUGCCAGCAGCCGCGGUAAUACGGGGGGGGCAAGCGUUGUUCGGAAUUACUGGGCGUAAAGGGCGCGUAGGCGGCCUGUUAAGUCGAACGUGAAAUCCCCGGGCUCAACCCGGGAACUGCGUCCGAUACUGGCAGGCUCGAAUCCGGGAGAGGGAUGUGGAAUUCCAGGUGUAGCGGUGAAAUGCGUAGAUAUCUGGAGGAACACCGGUGGCGAAGGCGGCAUCCUGGACCGGUAUUGACGCUGAGGCGCGAAAGCCAGGGGAGCAAACGGGAUUAGAUACCCCGGUAGUCCUAGCUGUAACGAUGGAUACUUGCUGUGGGGGUGUUAAAUCCCCCUG
Molecule: ribosomal RNA, 705 nt
Filed under: uncultured bacterium
Lineage: Bacteria
Description: bacterial SSU rRNA
Rfam family: Bacterial small subunit ribosomal RNA
Source: RNAcentral